Molecule: ribosomal RNA, 305 nt
Filed under: uncultured bacterium
Lineage: Bacteria
Description: bacterial SSU rRNA
Rfam family: Bacterial small subunit ribosomal RNA
Source: RNAcentral
CAGCCUACGGGAGGCAGCAGUGAGGAAUAUUGGUCAGUGGACGGAAGUCUGAACCAGCCAUGCCGCGUGCAGGAAGACGGCUCUAUGAGUUGUAAACUGCUUUUGUACAAGGGUAAACCUGAAUACGUGUAUUCAGCUGAAAGUACUGUACGAAUAAGGAUCGGCUAACUCCGUGCCAGCAGCCGCGGUAAUACGGAGGAUCCAAGCGUUAUCCGGAUUUAUUGGGCGUAAAGCGUCCGCAGCCGGUUUAUUAAGUAUAGAAUAAAACUUCGGGGCUCAACCCCGUCUCGUUCUAUAAACUGAUA